CCUACGGGUGGCAGCAGUGAGGAAUAUUGGUCAAUGGCCGGAAGGCUGAACCAGCCAAGCCGCGUGAAGGACGAAGGUGCCAAGCAUUGUAAACUUCUUUUGUCAAGGGACAAAAUCAGGCUCGAGAGCCUGACCGAGGGUACUUGAAGAAAAAGCAUCGGCUAACUCCGUGCCAGCAGCCGCGGUAAUACGGGGGAUGAGAGCGUUAUCCGGCGUUAUUGGGUUUACAGGGUACGUAGGCGGGCUGUUCAGUCAGCGGUAAAAGCCCGGGGCUCAUCCCCGGCGAGCCGUUGACACUGGCUGUCUUGAGAUGGCGAGAGGUAUGCGGAAUGCGCAGUGGAGCGGGGAAAUGCUUAGAUAUUGCGCAGAACUCCGAUUGCGAAGGAAGCAUACCGGCGGCGAUCUGACGCUGAGGCACGAAAGCGUGGGUAUCGAACAGGAUUAGAUACCCGGGUAGUC
RNAcentral lists this ribosomal RNA (459 nucleotides) under uncultured bacterium. RNAcentral describes it as "partial 16S ribosomal RNA". It matches the Rfam family "Bacterial small subunit ribosomal RNA", at positions 338 to 795 of the family's 1533-position model. The record is from RNAcentral.